RNAcentral lists this ribosomal RNA (699 nucleotides) under uncultured bacterium. RNAcentral's name for it is "bacterial SSU rRNA". It matches the Rfam family "Bacterial small subunit ribosomal RNA", at positions 805 to 1504 of the family's 1533-position model. The record is from RNAcentral.
AACGAUGUCAACUAGUUGUCGGGUCUUAACGGGCUUGGUAACGUAGCUAACGCGUGAAGUUGACCGCCUGGGGAGUACGAUCGCAAGAUUAAAACUCAAAGGAAUUGACGGGGACCCGCACAAGCGGUGGAUUAUGUGGAUUAAUUCGAUGCAACGCGAAAAACCUUACCUACCCUUGACAUGUAUUGAAACCCGCAGAGAUGUGGGUGUGCCCGAAAGGGAACGAUAACACAGGUGCUGCAUGGCUGUCGUCAGCUCGUGUCGUGAGAUGUUGGGUUAAGUCCCGCAACGAGCGCAACCCUUGUCAUUAGUUGCCAUCAUUUAGUUGGGCACUUUAAUGAGACUGCCGGUGACAAACCGGAGGAAGGUGGGGAUGACGUCAAGUCCUCAUGGCCCUUAUGGGUAGGGCUUCACACGUAAUACAAUGGCGCGUACAGAGGGUUGCCAACCCGCAAGGGGGAGCUAAUCUCAGAAAGCGCGUCGUAGUCCGGAUCGGAGUCUGCAACUCGACUCCGUGAAGUCGGAAUCGCUAGUAAUCGCGGAUCAGCAUGUCGCGGUGAAUACGUUCCCGGGUCUUGUACACACCGCCCGUCACACCAUGGGAGUGGGUUCCACCAGAAGCAGGUAGUCUAACCGCAAGGAGGGCGCUUGCCACGGUGAGAUUCAUGACUGGGGUGAAGUCGUAACAAGGUAACCGUA